GUAUGUAGCUCAGUGGUAGAGUGUUUGCCUAGUAUGCACAAAGGCCUAAGUUUUAUCCCCAGCACUGCA
Molecule: transfer RNA, 69 nt
Filed under: Marmota monax (woodchuck)
Lineage: Eukaryota; Metazoa; Chordata; Mammalia; Rodentia; Sciuridae
Description: tRNA.Thr
Source: RNAcentral